Choloepus didactylus (southern two-toed sloth) is the source of this 8076-nucleotide RNA transcript. It is a transcript of the gene named centrosomal protein 295, with no coding region annotated. The transcript has 30 exons. Lineage: Eukaryota; Metazoa; Chordata; Mammalia; Pilosa; Megalonychidae. The record is from RefSeq and is a predicted model, not a curated record.
GGCUGCCCCGCAGGCGCACAAACGGCUGUUUUGAAGUUGAGUGGCGGUGGCUACCCAGGCCGUCUAGGGUACGGUUUCUGACUCCGGCUCCUGAUUUUCAGGAGAGUGACAUAUCGACUUCUGGCGGCCUUGGACGUGCAUGACUCCCUGAGGCUCAGGAAUUAGGAGUGUGCUUAGAAGGAAAGGGAUUCCGUGAAGGCGCCGCGUUGCGAACGCAGCAUUGCUGGCGGAUCUUAGGCCUAGCCAAGCCUCGGAUUCCGGCUGGAGUCCGGCUGGCGGCUGUAAGGAGCGCCCAGUCAGGAGGCGCGUCCGGACCCAGGACCGCCGGCUUGCGACAGGCUGCUCUAAGAACAUUUAUAUUUAAAGUAUACAGAAAUGAAAAGAAAGGUAGUGAAUGCUGCCAAGCUGAGGUUGAGUCCAAAUGAAGAAGCUUUUAUCUUGAAGGAAGAUUAUGAAAGAAGACGAAAGCUAAGAUUGCUACAGGUUCGAGAACAAGAAAGGGAUAUAGCUUUACAGAUAAGAGAAGACAUAAAACAGAGAAGAAGCCAGCAAUUCACUCAUUUGGCAGAGGAGCUAAGGGCAGAAUGGGAAGAAUCACAAACUCAGAAAAUUAAGAACUUGGAAAAAUUGUAUUUGGCAAGUUUAAGAAAUGUGGGAGAGGGACAUCGACAGGCCAAAGAAAAUGAACCUGAUUUGAAUGCUCUAGCAUGGCGGGCUGCAGAAAGGAAAAAAAGAGCAGAAGCGAGGCAUAAAGAGGCCCUGAAAGAACAGAAAAAUCAAAAAGAAAUGUUAAUGAAGCAAAAAACUCGGCAUAUAAAAGCUCGAAAGAAAGCACUGCUUGUGGAAAAGGAGAGAUCUGCAAAAAUUACAAGUUUGCCGCCUCCUCCACCAUCUCUUUUUGAGAACAUUGAAGUAAAGAGAAUUUCUUCAGUGAAGACCAGUAGUUCUACCUACCAUCAUCUUUAUACUCUGGUGAAUAGGGAGAUGGAUGCAAUGCAGCCAGAUGCUCAUUUGGCUGCUGAAGAAGAAGCUAAACGAUUGGAAGAUCUACAAAAACAAGUAGCACAAGAGAGAAUGGAACAGUUUGAAAAGGCACAUCUACGAGGUUUCCAUGCAAUGAAAAAGAUCCGUUUUGCUCAAAAUCAAGAGAAACUAAUGAAAGAACUCAAACAGCUACAACAAGAGGACCUGGCACGGAGAAGACAGACUGUAGCACAAAUGCCACCCCAAGUGGUUGAACUUCCAUAUAAACGCAAUGAAAUGAAAGAAGACUGGCAGAGAGAGCUGGAAUUUGCCUUUGAAGAUAUGUACAAUGCAGACAGGAAGGUGAAAGGAAACCUGAUUUUGCACCUUGAACCAGAGCCUUUGCCCACUGUGAUUGAUCAGGCCCAAGAUGAAGAGCUGGACCUUUCAAUGGAACAAGAAAAUUUAAGUGAAACUGAGAGCCUGCAAGUGACAGAAACUGAAGAAAUAUGUUCUAGUGAAACAGAUGUUCCCUUGGCAAUAAAAGCCCAACAGGACCCUUCAAACAUUCUUUUUAAAAAAUUAUUAAAUAAGAUUCGAAGCCAGAAAUCUCUCUGGACAAUUAAAUCCACGUCUGAAGAUGAAAGCAAAGAGAUUACAGCUGUUAAUGAAACUGAGAGUAAAGCACUAACAGUUGAAUCAGAAACAAUUGCUAGUGAAGAGAGAACAUUAUCUGGGAAGGAACAAGUUGAAAGUGAUACGCUAACAAUUGAGUCUGGACCACUUACUAGUGAAGCUAAACCAUUUUCUUGCAGUAUAAACUCUGGAAAGGAACAAGAAAUGAAUGAGACUCAGCCUACUACAGCUGUAGCUCAGAAUUCAGUUCUACUUCAUCCUCAAGAAGAAGCAGCCAGAAUUAGAAUAUCAGCAAGGCAGAAACAGCUAAUGGAAAUAGAAGAGCAGAAGCAAAAGCAGUUGGAAUUACUUGAAAAAAUUGAAAAACAGAAGUUAAGAUUAGAAACUGACUGCUUCAGGGCUCAUCUGGAAGAAGAAAAAAGAAAAAAAGCUCUACAAACUCAGGUCGACAUUGUUCCAGCAUCAUGUGACGUAAUUUCUGAUGAAGAAAGUCAUAGGCAGAUGAUUCGUAACUAUCAACAUCAGCUUUUACAACAAAACAGGUUGCACAGACAGUCUGUUGAAACAGCUGUGAAACAAUUACAUGAAUAUCAGACUAUGUUAAAGGAAAGGUGCCCAUCCAUGUUAGCUACAUCAUUGACAUCUAUUUUUUCAGUACCACCACAGAAAUCUGAAGGACCCACUGUUACGUCACAGCAUUGGGAUCACGCUCAGAGACCCAAGUUACAUCCUAACGAAUAUCAACCCCUGAAACCCAUACAGAUCUCCAAAUUAGAACAAGAUCAUUUUCAGGUGCCAAAACAGAACCUCAUUCCACAAACACAGGUAGAAACAACAGAAACAGUAAGCACUUCACGUGUUUUAGCUAAGCAAUCUUUGGAAUCACAAGAACAUCUAAGGCUAUUCUCACAGGCGGAAACACAACAGAGAGACUAUAAAUUGGUCCCUAAAGAUUCUCAUAGACCUUCAAGGACUUUAUCACAUGACAGGCUGCUAAUAUUACCAGAUGCUAAAAAAAUAUCUCAAACAUCUAGGGCAAUGACUUUUCAAACUUUAGACUCCCAGCAGGUAUUCUUAGAAAACAGUGAAAGUAUGUCUUCUAAGCUGACUGAACCCUCUUCAUUCCUACCCCUGGCAGCUGAGCAUUCUUUUAGUUCUCUGCCUGCUGAAACUGAAUCUGGAAGAAUCCAGGAACCCUUUUCAAACAGGGAAAAAAGUACAGUUUCCUUAUUCCAUUCUGUAGUCAGCCAGAUGCAGGAUAGGUCUUUACGAUCCUCACAGCAUAUUGUAGCCCAACACAGUAGUUUGAAGACUCUCCAAGAACAGUUGGAACUACAAAAGGAAGUUCUUCGAACAAGACAGGAAGCUCAGGAACAAUUGCUUAUGUGCAAACAGAAAGAACUGGAAGAGCAAAUUGGCCUGUCUUUAUUUCCCAUGGUAGCUCCACAUUCAUUUGCUUCACGGCCUUCUGCUGAAGCUGAAUCGGGGAGAAUCCAGGAAUCUUCUCCAACCAAGGAUACUGCUGUUUCCUCAGGCCAUCCUGUGGUUCCACAAUUUCAGGAUAGGCUUUUGAGUGUUUCACAGCCUAUUUUAUUACAGCAGAAUAAUUUAAAAUUUCCCCAAGAACAGUGGAAUAUUCAGAGGGACAGCCUUCAGGCUAGGCGGGAAGCCCAGGAAGUAUUAUUUUUACAUGAACAGAAAGAAUUGAAUAGAAGAGUAUCUUUUGAGCAGUCUGAGCCCUCUUCUGUCUCAUCUCAGAUAGCUCAGCAAACUUCAUUACCUUUUGCUGAAACUAAAUAUGGAAAAAUUAAGGAGCAGUAUUCAAGUAAGAGUGAGAAAGGGGUUCUCUCAAGCCAAUGUGAAAUCCUCAAAUCUCAGGAUAGAUCUUUAAGUUUCCAACAGCAAUUCCCACCUCGGCAUGAUGGUUUGAAUUUGCCCCAGGAACAGCUGACUACACAGAGGGAAUCUCUUCAGGCUAGGCAUGAAACCCAGGUGGAAUUACUUCUAAAUAGACGAAAAGAUUUGGAAGACAGUAAGUCUGGACAGAUAAGUUCUUCAUUCUCACCAAUGGUUGCUCAGUGUUCACUAGCUUCACAAGCUUCUGCUAAAGCUGAGCCUAGAAGAAUUCAGAAACUUUAUUUAUCUGAUAAGGAGGAUAUAAUUCCCUCAAGUCAUUUGGUAAUCCCAACAUUUCAGGAUAAGUCUCUUAAUUUUCCACGCCGUGGCCUACCACAGCAAGAAAAUUUGACAACACUCCAACAACAGUCACACAUACAGAAAGUAAUGCUUGGUGCUAAACAAGAAACUCAAGAAUUUAUACACAAACAAUGUGAAUUGGAAAAAAGAAUUACUGCUGAACAGACUGGCCCCUCUUCCUCCCUUUUCCAGGUAGCUAAAUCUGAACCAUUUCAGGAAUUUAUGUCAAUCAAGAGUGACAGUACAGUUCCUUCAAGCCAUUCUAAGAUCCCAAGAUUUCAGGAGAGCCUUUUAAGGUUUUCACAACAUACACUGCCUCUACAAGGUAAUUUAGAGGAACACCAAGAAUGGCUAGAUACAGAGAAAAAGGCCCUUCAUUUUAGCCAGAAACCCCAAGAAAAUGUAUUUUCUGAACAAACUGGUUCGUCUUCAUUCAUACCCCAGUUAGGACAGCUUUCAUUAACUUCAUUACCGUCUGCUGAAUCUGGUACAGUCCAGGAACCUCUUUCAAAACAGAAUGAUAGUAAAACUUCUUCAAGCUAUUCUCAGAUCCCGCAAUUGCAGGAUAGGCUUUUGAGGAUAUCACAUCUUAUCCGCCCUCAACAAGAUAACUUGAAGGCACUUCAAGAGCAGUUAGCUACACAGAGGGAAGCCAUCAUUCAAUCUAAACGGGAAACUCAGGAAGAAUUUCUUUUACAUGAACAGAGGGAAUGGAAGGAAAGAAUAUCUCCUGAGCAGGUUGGCACCUCUUCCUUCUUACCUCUAGCAGCACAGCAUUCAUUUGCUUCAUUACCUAUUACUGAAUCUGAAAGAACUGAAGAACUUUAUCCAACCAAGAAUGAUAAUACAGUUUCCUCAGGUCUUUCUGAGGUAUCAAAAUUGCCUGAUAGACUUUUGGGAUUAUCAAAGUCUGUUUUACCUCAACCAAAUAAUUUGAUUGCACCUCAAGAACACAUGCCUUUACAGACAGAUGCCCUUCCUUCUAGUGAGAAAACUGAGAAAGAAUUGGUUUUGCCCAGACAACAUAAAUAUGAGGAAAAGCUAUUAUCUGAUCACUAUGGUGAUUUGAAGGUACUUCAAGAGCAGUUAGAUAUACAAAGGAAAAGCAUCCGAUCUAGUCAGGAAGUCCAAGAAGAAUUCCUUUUGCAAAGAUUAAGUAAGUUGGAAAAAAGGGUAUUGCCUGUUGUUAACUCUGAAAGAACCAAAGAGCCUCUCCCAACCACAAGUAAGGAUGUUGUUACUUCAGAUCACCUUGAGAUGCCAGGAUCACAGGUUAGCCUUCUGAAUUUAUCACAACCUGUUGUAGCUCAGCAAGAUAAUUUGACAACACUUCAAGAACAGUUGGACUUCCAAAGGGGAGUGGUAUAUUCUGAUGAGAAAGCCCAGGAAAAACUGCUUUUAAACAAACAAACAAAGUUGAACAAAAGUGAAUCUUCUGAACAUGCUGUCUCCUCUUUGUUUCUACCCAAGGAAACAGAGCAUUCAUUUAGUCCAUUACUUUUUGGUGAAGCUAAAUCUAAAAGCAUCUGUGAAUUGUGUUCCUCCAAGUAUGAACAUAUACUUCCCUCAAAUGAUUCUACUUCAAGAUUUCAGGAUAGACUUUUGAGUUUUUCACAACCUGUUUUAGCUCAGCAAGAUAACUUUGGACUUCAGAAGCAACUGGAUCUACAAAGAAAAGUUCUGCAUUGUAGCCAGAAAACCCAAGAAGAAUUGCUAGUACAGAGACAAGUGGCUUUGCAGCAACAGAUGCAUAAACAUCAAGAGACUUUGAAGGACUUCUUUAAAGACGAUCAGACAGGUAAGUCCACAGUUGAAAAUGAUUUACAAACUCAGAAAAUGGAGCAGCUCAGAGAGUGGUUUCCUUAUCUCCAAGACUUAGCAAGAGAUGAUCAGGAAGGCAUUAAUUAUGCAGAUAGGAGCAACUCUCAUGAUAAUCAACUACUUUCAGAAGAUACUGUUGUCAAGCAAAGUGGUGAGCAUCUGGACAAAGAACUGGUUAGGAGAUCCUCAAAGCCACCUCUAGCAAAAGUUAAAUGUGGAUUAGACUUGAACCAACAUGAACUUAGUGCUAUACAAGAAGUAGAGUCACCAGGAAGUGGCAAAACUUCUAUACUAGGUAAAACAGAAUUUUAUCAAGAUAGAGACCCCAUGAGGGUCUCAAUAAGCCGAGAACAAAGUUUACUUGGUAACUCACUGGACCGUGAUCCAUUUGGUCAUCUUCAGUCAGUUGCCCAGAAGAAUGUCUAUGGUGAUGACCAUGAUGAAGCAGCCAAGGUCAAGGAGUCUGUUUUCGAGAAUCAUGCAGUAUUAACUUAUGCUGUGGAGGAAGAAAAGCAUACACAUCUUGGUCCAACUGUGAUACCAGAUAGUAAGGUUAAAACACAAGAGGUUUCUUAUGAGCCAUUAUCUUCAGUAACUAUUUCUACUGGGAGCAUUUUAAGUAAUGAGAACACAGAUUUGAGCCUUAUAGAUCCAGAGGAAGAAUUUACAUCUGAUCAAAUGCACAUUCGACAGAUCGUAGACAAGUACAUAAAUGAAGCAAAUUUGAUGCCUGAAAAAACAGACUUUCGAGUUCCAGCAGUUGACCUUGACUUUCCAGAAUUAGAACACACUUUUCCAAAUUUGCAUCGUCAGCUCUUUAAACCGUUAGAAUCACAUCCAGAUUUUGAUUUAUCAUCAUCUCCUGGGAUUUCUCAAGACAACACAGACUUUUCCAAGAGCUCAGAUUCUUCAUCUGAAAGCCACCAUGCUACUCUGUCACCUGAAAGCACAGUGUCUAAUACAGCAGUGAGGAGCACCAGCCUACAUUCUUUUCUUAAAAGAAGCCUGAACCAGCAAUAUGACCCCAACACAGACCAUGCUGAAGCUCAGAGUUUUGCCACAGAAAAUAUUAUUGAGGGUUGUGAACAAUCUUUUCAAAAGCUUCUGCUAGGAUUUUCUUCACAGGAGGGGAGCCAGCAUGCUGAUCUACCAAGUAUUUUUAGCAUUGAAGCAAGAGAUUCUCCCCAAGUCAUGGAAAAUCAGAACUGCGCCUCUGAACAGAAUGUAAUAUUACAAAUUAAGGAAAAAAGUGUUCAUUUCCAGCCCUCUGUAGAAAAUUUGCUAAGUUCAGUCUUCACUUCAUCUGAUGAGACUAAUGUAUUUGAUAAGUUAAAUGUACAGCAUAGCACUCCAUGUGGUUCUAUCUCUAGUGAGUGCUCAAUAAAAGAGCAAUUAGAAGACGGAAAAGAAAAACUCCACUUUGAAGAAGUAUCUGAAAGAGUGGUUCAUGAAAGGUUACCGAGGCAAGGACCCAUGAAAGAUGAUAAAAAUGGAACCUGUAGGGUUUUAGAUAUAAAUCCUUAUACAGAAGAAACUGACUCUCAAUUAUGGGUAAGAACAGUGGAGAUGGGAACUCCAGUUCAUAUACCACAUUCGUUAACUAGUCAGAAUGAAAAAUAUUUUGAGAAUUCAACAAAAACUGAAACUCCAGAAAUUUUAAGGAACCUGUCUCAACAAGCACAAUCAGAGCUCCUUGUAAGUUCUGCAUCAUUUUCAGUACAGAGCUCUAUUCCAGUUUGGGAGACAGAGUCUGGCCAUGGUAUAAUGGAAGAACCAGAACUUACUUUAGUAAGCAGCAGUGAUAUAAGCAUUGCAGAGAUGGAUUUUGAAAAGUUAACCCUAGAUGACAGAGAGAAUAAGGCAAAGAACUGUUUUCAGGCAAGUGAAUUUCUGCCUCUCCUGCCAGAAAUAGAAACCUCAGAUAGUCCGGCCAUGUUAGAGCAUUCAGGCGAGAUGCCAUCUCCAAAGCAUGCAGAAAAUCUGGUUCCAGAGUGUGCAGCUCUACCAGGAAGCUUACAAGAAGCAUUCUUAAAGAGAAAGAAAUCAUUUAUUGCAAAAUCUUCCCAGAGGCAGAAAGAAAUACGGGAUAAAAUUCGUGUUUCUGAAAAGUCUGUCAAAAGAGUAGACAAGAAGUCUGCAGGUUCAUCUGUAAAUCGCCUGAAAAGCAUGACUGAAGUUAGAGUGUUUCUUCCUGAAGACAGAAAGACUGCAGAAGCCCUCAUGCACCAAAGGACUCUAAGUUAUCAGAAGUGAAACAACAAAAGGAAGCAAAAGCAAGACAAGAAGCUUAUGCCCAAAACAGAGCAAGAGCAAAGGAAUUUCAGAAGAAAACGCUAGAGAAACUUCGAGCCAAAAAUGCAUCCUGAUUUUUUCCAGUGUAGUUUUAUUGUGUGUAGCAUUAGGUGGUAUUAUUUAAAGUCAAUAAAUUUUUAUUUAAGGUAUUCUACGUGUUAAGUUUCA